ACCGCUAGCGACGGCCUAACACAUGCAAGUCGAGGGGUAACAUUUCAGCUUGCUGAAGAUGACGACCGGCGCACGGGUGAGUAACGCGUAUGCAACCUACCUUGUACAGGGGGAUAGCCCAGAGAAAUCUGGAUUAACACCGCAUAAUAUGAUUGAUUCGCAUGAAUUAGUUAUUAAAUCUUCGGAGGUACAAGAUGGGCAUGCGUAGCAUUAGUUAGUUGGUGAGGUAACGGCUCACCAAGACAAUGAUGCUUAGGGGGUCUGAGAGGAUAGUCCCCCACACUGGUACUGAGACACGGACCAGACUCCUACGGGAGGCAGCAGUGAGGAAUAUUGGUCAAUGGGCGCAAGCCUGAACCAGCCAUGUCGCGUGCAGGAUGACGGCCCUAUGGGUUGUAAACUGCUUUUUUACAGGAAUAAACUCAACUACGUGUAGUUGACUGAAGGUACUGUAGGAAUAAGGAUCGGCUAACUCCGUGCCAGCAGCCGCGGUAAUACGGAGGAUUCGAGCGUUAUCCGGAUUUAUUGGGUUUAAAGGGUCCGUAGGCGGGCUAAUAAGUCAGUGGUGAAAUCCCAGAGCUCAACUCUGGAACUGCCAUUGAUACUGUUAGUCUUGAAUUUAGUUGAGGUGGGCGGAAUACGUUAUGUAGCGGCGAAAUGCAUAGAUAUAACGUAGAACACCGAUUGCGAAGGCAGCUCACUAAGCUAAC
Molecule: ribosomal RNA, 710 nt
Filed under: uncultured Bacteroidota bacterium
Lineage: Bacteria; Pseudomonadati; Bacteroidota
Description: bacterial SSU rRNA
Rfam family: Bacterial small subunit ribosomal RNA
Source: RNAcentral